RNAcentral lists this ribosomal RNA (529 nucleotides) under Ctenophora environmental sample. Its description in RNAcentral is "partial Bacterial large subunit ribosomal RNA". It matches the Rfam family "Bacterial large subunit ribosomal RNA", at positions 39 to 520 of the family's 2925-position model. Lineage: Eukaryota; Metazoa; Ctenophora. The record is from RNAcentral.
UUGAGUGAAGAAGAAAGACGCGGCAAGCUGCGAUAAGCUUCGGGUAGGAGCUAAACAUCCUUUGAUCCGGAGAUCUCUGAAUGGGGCAACCCGGCAUGGUUAAUACUGUGCCAUGCUUGCAUGAAUACAUAGUGCAAGCAGUGCAACGGGGAGAACUGAAACAUCUUAGUACCCCCAGGAAAAGAAAGUAAUAACGAUUCCCUGAGUAGCGGCGAGCGAACGGGGAACAGCCCAAACCGUGUAUGUGUCAAGCCCGAAAGCGUUGCAUAUGCGGGGUCGCGGGAUACAGUUUGACAAGGUUUCGGACUUGUCGAAGAGUACACAAAAUUGAUUGUUAGCUGAACCAGCUGGAAAGUUUGGACCAUAGAAGGUGACAGUCCUGUAAGCGAAAACAAUCAAUCUCUUUUAUUGUAUUCCCAAGUACUGCGGAACACGAGAAAUUCUGUGGGAAUUUGUGUGGACCAUCACAUAAGGCUAAAUACUACCUGGCAACCGAUAGUGAACCAGUACCGUGAGGGAAAGGUGAAAA